RNAcentral lists this ribosomal RNA (620 nucleotides) under Streptococcus agalactiae STIR-CD-23. RNAcentral describes it as "bacterial SSU rRNA". It matches the Rfam family "Bacterial small subunit ribosomal RNA", at positions 1 to 608 of the family's 1533-position model. Lineage: Bacteria; Bacillati; Bacillota; Bacilli; Lactobacillales; Streptococcaceae. The record is from RNAcentral.
AUGAGAGUUUGAUCCUGGCUCAGGACGAACGCUGGCGGCGUGCCUAAUACAUGCAAGUAGAACGCUGAUGUUUGGUGUUUACACUAGACUGAUGAGUUGCGAACGGGUGAGUAACGCGUAGGUAACCUGCCUCAUAGCGGGGGAUAACUAUUGGAAACGAUAGCUAAUACCGCAUAAGAGUGAUUAACACAUGUUAGUUAUUUAAAAGGAGCAAUUGCUUCACUGUGAGAUGGACCUGCGUUGUAUUAGCUAGUUGGUGAGGUAAAGGCUCACCAAGGCGACGAUACAUAGCCGACCUGAGAGGGUGAUCGGCCACACUGGGACUGAGACACGGCCCAGACUCCUACGGGAGGCAGCAGUAGGGAAUCUUCGGCAAUGGACGGAAGUCUGACCGAGCAACGCCGCGUGAGUGAAGAAGGUUUUCGGAUCGUAAAGCUCUGUUGUUAGAGAAGAACGUUGGUAGGAGUGGAAAAUCUACCAAGUGACGGUAACUAACCAGAAAGGGACGGCUAACUACGUGCCAGCAGCCGCGGUAAUACUAGGUCCCGAGCGUUGUCCGGAUUUAUUGGGCGUAAAGCGAGCGCAGGCGGUUCUUUAAGUCUGAAGUUAAAGGCAGUGGC